This is a long non-coding RNA of Podarcis raffonei (Aeolian wall lizard), 1575 nucleotides long. RefSeq lists it as uncharacterized. The record is from RefSeq and is a predicted model, not a curated record. The transcript has 2 exons. Lineage: Eukaryota; Metazoa; Chordata; Lepidosauria; Squamata; Lacertidae.
UCGAGGCGGCGGCGGCGCGGGGUUUAAGCCGAGCCACGAGGCAACAGUUCAGGCUCAGUACCUGUGCGGGGUACCGCCAACUGCAAUAAAAUAUUGGGUGGGGGGCGGCCAGGUAUCGUCUCAUACCCUCCAGACUUUUGUGCUGGCAUCAUCGCUGAGUAGUUUCUGCAAAUUCAUGGAUGUCUACUGACUAAAAUAUGGAUUUCCCCUGUACAAAAUCCAGAAAAUGAACUAUUCCUCCAUGUAAGUCUGUCACUUAGUAGAAAACUGCCAACAAAUUUGUUUUCUGGAGUCUGACGCCCAGCUGCAAUAAAUUAAGCUAUGCCAUGUAAUCCCAGCUGGUGGGCUGUGGCAGUGUUCACUGUGGUUGUGUGCCUCUUCCCAAACCCACCCUGUUUUUGUGUUUUCUUCCUUUGCAUUCUUCUCCCCUCUUGGUUAAGCAUGUAUCGGAUUCAUCAGCAAAUCUCCAGACCUGGUAUAUAAGCACAGGGCUGCUCAGCCUGUUAGUCGAACUUAAUCUGAACUGAAAUACAUUUAAGUUACCAUUUACUAGUCCCAUUGACUUAAAUGGGAAAUGAAUUCAACUCAAUCCAGACCUGUGUCUGCAGAUAGAGAAACUGCCGUUUUAUGUCAGCAAAGAUGGAUGAUGAUACAGGAGAACAAUCUUAACAAAUGUGAAUAAAGUAAUACUGACUACUGUGAUCUUAUUAUCUGCAUUCUGUAUUAAGACACAUUAAAAAAAUUGCAUGACAUUAAAAAUGCACAUUUUACGUUUAACAAAAUGGUUAGAAAUUGUGAGCGUCUCCUCUGCCCAUUCUUUUUGGUUCUGCUCUUGAGUUUUCUCAUUCUACCCUGCGGACCUCUAAAACACAUGCCUCUUUCCUAAGUUCUUUCAACUUCUAUGUUUCCUGCAUUUGUCCAUUUUUCUACUCAGUCCCUCUAAUUAUACCACCGCAGUCCAGAGUAUGAAAGCUAAAGGCUCUUCUGUGACAUCAGAGCAGCUCAUCCAAUCAGUGCUAGUGUGUCACCCCCCCCCCACCAAAUGCUUUAGCAAAACCACCUUAUCUAGAGAUAGGCAACAAGGCUGCAACCCCCUACCUCUCCUCACAAUAUAUUUUGCUCCUCUAGUAGUCUAUGCUUUUCUUCAUAAGCUUGACUGCUGAACAGCAGGACACGGUCAUGCACUGCUUUGAGCAUGAGCAGAUAAGGACUAGAUUUGCCAGGAGGGGUGUACAUCCACUCAAUCAUCCCUUAAACAUCUGUCUGAAUUACAGAGGUACCAAAGGAGCAGAAAGGGAUGGAUGGGGAGGUUAAUGGUCUCAUUAUUUCUGCUGUUGGCUGGUAACCUAUUUCUGCCCCUCAUUAUGUUCUCCCUGCUACAACCCACAGAGUGGGGAAGUGUAUCAAAAUAGCUGUAAUGCACAUUACAAGGAUGGUUAGGAAGGGAAUCCAAAUGCUGCGUGGCCAGAGCAUCCUUGCAACGACAUCGAUUUAAAGAAUGCACCUCUUACAAGUUAAAAUGUACAUGUUAUACACACCAAGUAAUUGAAAGGAACCAUGACCCAUAGUCAUGAG